UGAAACUUAAGCAUAUCAAUAAGCGGAGGAGAAGAAACUAACAAGGAUUCCCCCUAGUAACUGCGAGUGAAGCGGGAAAAGCUCAAAUUUAAAAUCUGGUGGUCUUUGGCCAUCCGAGUUGUAAUUUAGAGAAGCGUCUUCCGCGCUGGACCGUGCACAAGUCUCCUGGAAUGGAGCGUCAUAGAGGGUGAGAAUCCCGUCUUUGGCACGGAUGUACCAGGGCUUUUGUGAUGCGCUCUCGAAGAGUCGAGUUGUUUGGGAAUGCAGCUCAAAAUGGGUGGUGAACUCCAUCUAAAGCUAAAUAUUGGCGAGAGACCGAUAGCGAACAAGUACCGUGAGGGAAAGAUGAAAAGCACUUUGGAAAGAGAGUGAAACAGUACGUGAAAUUGUUGAAAGGGAAACGCUUGAAGUCAGUCGCGUCGACCGAGACUCAGCCUUGCCUCGGCUUGGUGUACUUCUCGGCUGACGGGUCAGCAUCAAUUUUGCCCCUUGGAUAAUGGCGAGGGAAAUGUGACACCUUUACGGUGUGUUAUAGUCUCUCGUCGCAUGCAAGGGUCGGGAUUGAGGAACUCAGCACGCGCCUUUGGGCGUCGGGGCUUUGCCCACGAUACGUGCUUAGGAUGUUGGCGUAAUGGCUUUAAACGACCCGUCUUGAAACACGGACCAAGGAGUCUAACAUGCCUGCGAGUGUUCGGGUGGAAAACCCGUGCGCGCAAUGAAAGUGAAAGUUGGGACCUCUGUCGUGGAGGGCACCGACGCCCGGACCAGACCUUCUGUGACGGCUCUGCGGUAGAGCAUGUAUGUUAGGACCCGAAAGAUGGUGAACUAUGCCUGAAUAGGGUGAAGCCAGAGGAAACUCUGGUGGAGGCUCGUAGCGAUUCUGACGUGCAAAUCGAUCGUCAAAUUUGGGUAUAGGGGCGAAAGACUAAUCGAACCAUCUAGUAGCUGGUUCCUG
Molecule: ribosomal RNA, 955 nt
Filed under: Russula sp.
Lineage: Eukaryota; Fungi; Basidiomycota; Agaricomycetes; Russulales; Russulaceae
Description: LSU rRNA
Rfam family: Eukaryotic large subunit ribosomal RNA
Source: RNAcentral